This 1800-nucleotide long non-coding RNA is filed under the name Helianthus annuus (common sunflower). The record is from RNAcentral. Lineage: Eukaryota; Viridiplantae; Streptophyta; Magnoliopsida; Asterales; Asteraceae.
AUAAAAAGGAGAAGUGAUGGACAGAGAUGUAAUUUUACAUCAUGUACAACAUUGGAAGCAGCAUAUACAACACUUUAUAAGCAGAGAAAAUAGAAAAGGGUUUGAUAUUUUAAGACGCUACAAGGGGUAGCCUAGGGAUUUCACUCCUACCGUUCCUUCAUUUUCCAUCAUCGAUUGAAAUUGAAUGCGAUCUUUUGGUAUUCGCCGUCCCCAUCUACCCUAUAACCUGAUUUCCGAUUUUGAAGGAACCCGAACCGAUUUGCAGUGGAAGAAGAACUUGCAACAUGGAGAGAUUCGGAGGCGGUGGUGGUGAUACUCUACAAAUUCAUUCGAAUUCAUCAGGGAAGAGGAAGACGGUGUGAAGGUUGUGCCAGGUUUCUUUGACGUGAUUCUCAAUUAUAUCGAAGGGCUACGUUUCUUCAAGGAGAAUUUCACAUAAUAGCUGAAAAGUUUCACGUUCAUAUACUUGUUCAUCCAAAUAUUUCUUGCAUGUCUUCCCCUGCUUCUCCCAUCGCGAUCAGUUAUUCAAUGGUUCUUCUUGAAGGACAUAAAUUGAUCAGGAGAAAUAUCGCCACACUCAAUGUUGCCACUGGUUCACUUUCUGUACUUGUUCUCUCCCUCUAUCUCUUUAUGGCGAUAAUCUCAACAUCAGAACUCCAAGGGAGCCAUCGAUUCACUUGUGGUCGAUCAUGAUAUUUUUUGGAGCUCCGAUCAACCCGGCAUCGACCUUAUUUUGCUGAUGAAGCGGAAUUUGUGGAAGUUUAUAGAAAAAGAAAUUUGGUGCCGCUCCACAAGUGCAAUAUUAAUCACUUACACGUUUGAUGUCAGAAAUGAUGAAGAAAUACAAUGAAAGGUGAAGAAGAAGCUUUAUUCUGCACAUUGUGCAAUGCCAGAGGGUUCAUGAGGCUGUUGACACAAAGGAGAUGGAAGUGAUUUGUGGAUUUAUGUUUCUGUUUGACAUGUUUAUGAGGAUGUCAUGUGACUGUUUGACAACAUUGAUGUUCUGUAGUCAUAUGCUUCAGACAGUCAAGCCGAUCAGAUCUAAAUGUCAAUUGGGCUACAUUCUCAGAAACUGAGCUCACGAGAACAUGCCAAAGCCUAGAUAGUGGUAUUUGUAUUUGAGGCCAAUUGUGAUACUUAGGGAGCCCGGUCCAGGAGUUGACCCAAUCAAAAACUGCUCCGGAGUCUUCAGGGAUCUCUUCAUCAAUCAGAUGAACCUCCUGGACCGGGAAGUGAAGAUGGUCGCCUAGCUGGACGAACCAUUGGAGUAAAACUACGUGAGAAAACACGCACUUGAGCAGGCUGAAACUCUUGGUGUUGAUGUUAGAGAAGCUGCGACCCGUAUCUUCUCCAAUGCAUCUGGCUCCUACUCAUCAAAUGUAAACCUGGCAGUCGAAAACUCAACAUGGAACGAGGAGAAACAGCUUCAAGACAUGUAUUUGAGCAGAAAGUCAUUCGCAUUCGACAGCGACACUCCAGGUGCCGGAAUGAGCGAGAAACGAAAAGUGUUCUAGAUGGCGUUAAGUACAGCCGAAGCCACUUUCCAAAACCUCGACUCAUCAGAGAUUUCUUUAACCGAUGCGAGCCUCUACUUCGAUUCUGACCCAACUAACCUUGUUGGGAGCUUGCAUAAGACGGGAAGAAACCAAGUGCCUACAUUGCACACACAACCACAGCUAUGGAAAAUAAUUCAUAUGUAGUGUUUGACUUUGCAAAAUACUCAAUAUGGAAAAUAAUUGCUGUAAAAUUUUGUAUUUGUGGCAAAUAAUCUUUCUUUCUCUGUUUAAGGUCCAAAAUUUG